RNAcentral lists this ribosomal RNA (254 nucleotides) under uncultured bacterium. Its description in RNAcentral is "partial 16S ribosomal RNA". It matches the Rfam family "Bacterial small subunit ribosomal RNA", at positions 524 to 776 of the family's 1533-position model. The record is from RNAcentral.
UACAGAGGUCUCAAGCGUUGUUCGGAUUCAUUGGGCGUAAAGGGUGCGUAGGUGGCGGGGUAAGUCAGGUGUGAAAUCUCGGAGCUCAACUCCGAAACUGCACUUGAUACUGCCUUGCUUGAGUACUGGAGAGGAGAUUGGAAUUACGGUGUAGCAGUGAAAUGCGUAGAUAUCGUAAGGAAGACCAGUGGCGAAGGCGAAUCUCCGGACAGUUACUGACACUGAGGCACGGAAGGCCAAGGGGAGCAAACGGG